Sarcophilus harrisii (Tasmanian devil) is the source of this 699-nucleotide long non-coding RNA. RefSeq lists it as uncharacterized. The transcript has 3 exons. Lineage: Eukaryota; Metazoa; Chordata; Mammalia; Dasyuromorphia; Dasyuridae. The record is from RefSeq and is a predicted model, not a curated record.
UUUGGUUAACAUUGAUGGGGUAUAGCAAAUGGAACCACAGUUGGGCAGUACAACAGAGUAAUCAAGAGCCCAAAAGAAAACUGAGAGAUGGGGAAGAUAGUAGACAAAGCUAGGAUACAACAGCUCUCUGAAGAGCUGGCCUGGCGCAUCAUGGUAGAAGAAAUUUCCACUAACCAAGGUAAAACAGGAUCUUGGGAAAACAUACACUUCUUUGGUAAUAAAGUAUCUUUUAAAAUCCUGAACACGGAAGAAAAACAACAAAGGGAAAUGACAGCUGAAAGAUUACCCCAAGCUUGAUACAAGACAAGCUUCUAUGAAACAGAGUUGGAGAAUGCUCUCGAGGUUGGAAAAGACAAAACAAUAAAAGUCAGGAGAGUUGAAAUUUCAGGUUUCAUCUUGUUUCAAGUCUCAUUUCCUUGCGCCAGAUUAAGGUAUCUACUUCCUCAAUCUCCCACUCAGCCUCAGGUUAUCCUUUUAUCUCUUCCAAGAUGCUCUAACAUAAAUCCGGGUGGGAAAAGAAGGUCUACCCCACUUCUACCGAAACUACAGCAAGAAGUGCCUCUCCCUGAGUUUUUUAAAAAAAGGAACUCUGCUCUGGAAAGAUACUAGAAGAUGGCUGACAACAGUUCUCAAUGAGGGGGUUAAUGGUCUUAUUUAAUGAAGGGAGAUCCACUCCCUGAUAUAGUACCUGACCAUCCA